GGCUCAGGAUGAACGCUAGCUACAGGCUUAACACAUGCAAGUCGAGGGGCAGCAUGACCUAGCAAUAGGUGAUGGCGACCGGCGCACGGGUGAGUAACACGUAUCCAACCUACCGGUUAUUCCGGGAUAGCCUUUCGAAAGAAAGAUUAAUACCGGAUAGUAUAGCGAGAAGGCAUCCUCUUGUUAUUAAAGAAUUUCGAUAACCGAUGGGGAUGCGUUCCAUUAGUUUGUUGGCGGGGUAACAGCCCACCAAGACAUCGAUGGAUAGGGGUCUGAGAGGAAGGUCCCCCACAUUGGAACUGAGACACGGUCCAAACUCCUACGGGAGGCAGCAGUGAGGAAUAUUGGUCAAUGGACGAGAGUCUGAACCAGCCAAGUAGCGUGAAAAGGAUGACUGCCCUAUGGGUUGUAAACUUCUUUUAUAUGGGAAUAAGGUGAGCCACGUGUGGCCUUUUGUAUGUACCAUACGAAUAAGGAUCGGCUAACUCCGUGCCAGCAGCAGC
Molecule: ribosomal RNA, 503 nt
Filed under: uncultured bacterium
Lineage: Bacteria
Description: bacterial SSU rRNA
Rfam family: Bacterial small subunit ribosomal RNA
Source: RNAcentral